Molecule: RNA transcript, 7782 nt
Organism: Capra hircus (goat)
Lineage: Eukaryota; Metazoa; Chordata; Mammalia; Artiodactyla; Bovidae
Gene: MADD
Gene name: MAP kinase activating death domain
Exons: 37
Source: RefSeq, a predicted model, not a curated record
UCAAGCCGCCCGCUCCCCUCCCGCCGUCCCGAGUUGGUAGGCUCCGCCGCCGCGGCCGCCGGCUUCCCUGCACGGGCGGCUGGGCGCUUCCAAACAGCGAGCGGCGGGGGGGAGGAGGAAAGUGAGGUGAAGGGGACGGCGAGACUGUCUGAGAGCAGCUUAUUUUGAGAAGUCGCUUCCAGGGUGAACGUACCAUCAUCGAAAUUGGCUCUAUUACCGUGUCGAACUGAAAUGUUUGCGCAACGCACACCCACAGCGUUCCCGUGGGUCCUCCCCUUGGCACGUACGCGCCCCAGCGCGCUCCCACUCCCUCACGCCUAGGUGUGUGCGUAAACGCCCUUCUCCCGAGACCGGCUCCGCCCUUCGUCGCUCGGCUUGGUGCAGCCCCGUCCCCCCCCACCGCCGGGGGUGAAUGGUACGGCCCCGGCGCCCCUCAGCCUCCCCUGCCUUCACCUAGUCGGAGUGGUGCGCGCCCCCCUGGUGCAGACGCGGAACUGGCUCGCGCUGCCAGCGGCGCCCGGGUCGGGGAGCCACUGACGCCCGGCUUGCCCGGGGACGUCCAGCCGAGCCCGGCCGGUCCCCCUAGGCCCAGGAGACUUGGCGUUUCAGAUAACAUCAGAAUUCGUCCUGCGAACCUUGACUCCAUGCCUGGUGCCUUGAAGUUUCUCUGAGAUGAACUGAUGAAUUGGAGCCAUGGUGCAGAAGAAGAAGUCCUGUCCUCGGUUACUUGACUACCUGGUGAUCGUAGGGGCCAGGCACCCGAGCAGUGACAGUGUGGCCCAGACUCCGGAACUGCUACGGCGGUACCCGCUAGAGGACCACGCCGAGUUUCCCCUGCCCCCGGAUGUCGUGUUCUUCUGCCAGCCAGAGGGCUGCCUAAGCGUGCGGCAGCGGCGCAUGACCCUGCGGGACGACACCUCUUUUGUCUUCACCCUCACCGACAAGGACACUGGCGUCACCCGUUAUGGCAUCUGCGUCAACUUUUACCGCUCUUUCCAAAAGCGUGUGCCUAAGGAGAAAGGGGAGGCCGGGCCAGGGUCCCGGGGGAAGGAAGGGCCCCGAGCCCCCUGCGUCUCCGAGGAGGUGGGCCCUAAGACCUCGGAGAGCAGCCCGUCCCUGCAGCCGCCCAGUGCCGACUCCACCCCGGACGUGAGCCAGUCUCCGCGGGCCAGACGCCGGGCCAAGGCGGGGACCCGGUCCCGCAACAGCACGCUGACGUCUCUGUGCGUGCUCAGCCACUACCCCUUUUUCUCCACCUUCCGAGAAUGUCUGUACACCCUCAAGCGUCUGGUGGACUGCUGCAGUGAGCGCCUGCUGGGCAAGAAACUGGGCCUCCCUCGAGGCAUACAGAGGGACACCAUGUGGCGCAUCUUCACCGGAUCGUUGUUAGUGGAGGAGAAGUCGAGCGCCCUGCUGCACGACCUCCGGGAGAUUGAGGCCUGGAUCUACCGCUUGCUGCGCUCCCCAGUACCUGUCUCGGGGCAGAAACGAGUGGACAUCGAGGUCCUGCCCCAGGAGCUCCAGCAGGCUCUGACCUUUGCUCUCCCAGACCCCUCUCGAUUCACCCUAGUGGACUUCCCGCUGCACCUUCCCCUGGAGCUUCUGGGUGUGGACGCCUGUCUACAGGUGCUCACCUGCAUCCUGUUAGAGCACAAGGUCGUGCUCCAGUCCCGAGACUACAACGCACUCUCCAUGUCCGUGAUGGCCUUUGUGGCGAUGCUCUACCCCUUGGAGUAUAUGUUUCCUGUUAUCCCACUGCUGCCCACCUGCAUGGCGUCGGCAGAGCAGCUGCUAUUGGCUCCAACACCAUACAUCAUUGGGGUCCCUGCCAGCUUCUUCCUCUACAAACUGGACUUCAAAAUGCCUGAUGACGUGUGGCUGGUAGAUCUGGACAGCAACAGGGUGAUUGCCCCCACCAACGCGGAAGUGCUGCCUGUCCUGCCAGAACCGGAAUCGUUAGAGUUGAAGAAGCAUUUGAAGCAGGCCCUCGCCAGCAUGAGUCUCAACACCCAACCCAUCCUCAAUCUGGAGAAAUUCCAUGAGGGCCAGGAGAUCCCCCUUCUCCUGGGAAGGCCUUCUAAUGACCUGCAGUCCACACCUUCCACCGAGUUCAACCCGCUCAUAUACGGCAAUGACGUGGAUUCGGUGGAUGUCGCAACCAGAGUGGCCAUGGUCCGUUUCUUCAACUCCCCCAACGUGCUGCGGGGCUUUCAGAUGCACACGCGUACCCUACGUCUCUUCCCCCGGCCCGUGGUGGCUUUCCAAGCCGGCUCCUUUCUAGCCUCACGCCCCCGGCAGACUCCUUUCGCCGAGAAACUGGCCAGGACUCAGGCCGUGGAGUACUUUGGAGAAUGGAUCCUGAACCCCACCAACUACGCCUUCCAGCGGAUUCACAACAACAUGUUCGAUCCAGCUCUGAUUGGCGACAAGCCCAAGUGGUACGCCCACCAGCUGCAGCCCAUUCACUAUCGAGUGUAUGACAGCGGUUCCCAGUUGGCCGAGGCGCUGAGCGUGCCGCCUGAGCGAGACUCUGACUCUGACCCAACCGAUGACAGCGGGAGUGACAGCAUGGAUUACGACGACUCGAGCUCUUCUUACUCUUCCCUUGGUGACUUUGUCAGCGAGAUGAUGAAGUGCGACAUCAACGGUGAUACUCCCAACGUGGACCCUCUGACACACGCGGCGCUGGGGGAUGCCAGCGAGGUGGCGAUUGAGGAGCUACAGAACCAGAAGGAGGCAGAGGAACCCGGCCCGGAUGGCGAGCACUCUCAGGAAAACCCGCCACUGCGCUCUAGCUCCAGCACCACUGCCAGCAGUAGCCCCAGCACCGUCAUCCACGGCGCCAGCUCUGAACCUGUCGACUCAACAGAGGUGGACGAUAAGGCGGCAGGAGGCGUCCCCAAGUCCCUCCCCACCAUGCCUCCCGGCGUGGGCAAGUGCAGCGUGGACAGACGUCAGCCAGAAACGGGAGACGGUUCAGUGCGCCGGCAAGCCUCUGACAGUCCGUGCCUCCAGCCCCAGUAUGGCGUUCCCCCUGAGGAAGACGAUGAGCAGGGUGAAAGUUAUACCCCCCGACUCAGCCAGCAUGUCAGUGGCCAUCGGGCUCAAAAGUUGCUGCGGCCCAACAGCUUGAAACUGGCAAGUGACUCAGACGCAGAGUCGGACUCUCGAGCAAGUUCGCCCACCUCCACCGUCUCCAACAAUAGCACGGAGGGCUUCGGGGGCAUCAUGUCUUUCGCCAGCAGCCUGUAUCGGAACCACAGCACCAGCUUCAGCCUUUCAAACCUCACGCUGCCCACCAAAGGAGCCCGAGAGAAGAGCACGCCCUUCCCCAGUCUGAAAGUAUUUGGGCUAAAUACUCUAAUGGAGAUUGUUACUGAAGCCGGCCCUGGGAGUGGUGAAGGAAACAGGCGGGCCUUAGUGGACCAGAAGUCAUCGGUUAUUAAACACAGCCCGACCGUGAAAAGAGAGCCUCCGUCACCCCAGGGCCGGGCCAGUAACUCUAGUGAGAACCAGCAGUUCCUGAAGGAGGUGGUGCACAGCGUGCUGGAUGGCCAGGGUGUCGGCUGGCUCAACAUGAAAAAGGUGCGGCGGCUGCUGGAGAGCGAGCAGCUGCGUGUCUUUGUCCUGAGCAAGCUGAACCGCACGGUGCAGUCCGAGGAGGAGGCCCGGCAGGACGUCAUCCCCGACGUGGAGGUCAGCCGGAAGGUGUACAAGGGCAUGUUGGACCUGCUCAAGUGCACGGUCCUCAGUCUGGAGCAGUCCUUCGCCCACGCCGGCCUGGGUGGCAUGGCCAGCAUCUUCGGGCUCCUGGAAAUCGCCCAGACCCACUACUACAGUAAAGAACCAGACAAGCGGAAGAGAAGUCCCACGGAGAGCGUCAGUACACCAGUCAGCAAGGAUCCUGGCCUGGCUGGGCGGGGGGACCCAAAGGCCAUGGCCCAGCUGAGGGUCCCCCAGCUGGGACCUCGAGCACCAAGUGCCCCAGGAAAGAGUCCCAAGGAGCUGGACACCAGGAGUCUAAAGGAAGAGAACUUUGUGGCAUCUAUUGAAUUGUGGAGCAAGCACCAGGAAGUGAAAAAGCAAAAAGCUUUGGAAAAACAGAGGCCUGAAGUAAUCAAACCCACCUUUGACCUUGGUGAAACCGACGAGAAAAAGUCCCAGGUCAGCGCAGACAGUGGUGUGAGCCUGACAUCCGGUUCCCAGAGGACCGAUCCAGACUCUGUCGUCGGUGUGAGUCCCGCCGUGAUGAUCCGAAGCUCAAGUCAGGACUCUGAAGUUAGCACCGUGGUGAGCAACAGCUCCGGAGAGACCCUGGGAGCAGACAGCGACCUCAGCAGCAGUGCGGGCGAUGGCCCAGGCGGCGAGGGCAGUGCCCACUUGGCAGGCUCUCGAGGCACCUUGUCUGACAGUGAGAUCGAGACCAACUCUGCCACCAGUGCCAUCUUUGGUAAAGCCCAUAGCUUGAAGCCAAGUGUAAAGGAGAAGCUGCUGGGCAGCCCAGUUCGCUCUUCUGAAGAUGUCAGCCAGCGAGUCUACCUCUACGAGGGACUCCUAGGAAGGGACAAAGGAUCGAUGUGGGACCAGUUAGAGGACGCUGCUAUGGAGACCUUUUCUAUAAGCAAAGAGCGUUCUGCUUUAUGGGACCAAAUGCAGUUCUGGGAAGACGCGUUCUUAGAUGCUGUGAUGUUGGAGAGAGAAGGAAUGGGCAUGGACCAGGGUCCCCAGGAAAUGAUAGACAGGUACCUGUCCCUCGGAGAACACGACCGGAAGCGCCUGGAGGACGAUGAAGACCGCCUGCUGGCCACACUCCUGCACAAUCUCAUCUCGCACAUGCUGCUGAUGAAGGUAAAUAAGAAUGACAUCCGGAAGAAGGUGAGGCGCCUGAUGGGAAAGUCCCAUAUUGGGCUUGUGUACAGUCAGCAAAUCAAUGAAGUCCUUGACCAGCUGGCCAACCUGAAUGGACGAGAUCUCUCCAUCCGGUCCAGUGGCAGCCGGCACAUGAAGAAGCAGACAUUUGUGGUACAUGCAGGGACAGACACAAAUGGAGAUAUCUUUUUCAUGGAGGUGUGUGACGACUGCGUGGUGCUGCGCAGUAACAUCGGGACGCUGUACGAGCGCUGGUGGUACGAGAAACUCAUCAACAUGACCUACUGCCCCAAGACCAAGGUGCUGUGCUUGUGGCGCAGAAACGGCUCCGAGACCCAGCUCAACAAGUUCUAUACUAAGAAGUGUCGGGAGCUGUACUACUGCGUGAAGGACAGCAUGGAGCGCGCCGCCGCCCGCCAGCAGAGCAUCAAGCCGGGGCCGGAACUGGGUGGCGAGUUCCCCGUGCAGGACAUGAAGACUGGCGAAGGGGGCUUGCUGCAGGUCACCCUCGAAGGGAUCAACCUCAAGUUCAUGCACAACCAGGAGCGGAAGGUUUUCAUAGAGCUGAAUCACAUUAAAAAGUGCAAUACAGUCCGAGGCGUCUUUGUCCUGGAGGAAUUUGCAGCCCAGCGCCUCGUCCAACCGCCCCGGGGCCACACCAGGGUCCUGCAGCCUCCAAGCCGGAGGGAGGCGCACAGGGGCGCAGGCAGGCCUAGGGAGCCGGGAGCCAGGCUCCCCCCCACGUCCAGGGCUGAGCGGCAUCUGGGUUCUCACCCUGGGGCUUUGAGUUCCUGCUGUGUUUGUGCUUCAUUCUUUUGUGCCCCUCAUCGCUGCUAUGAAAACCUUCGUUCUCCAGCAGGUAAAGUGACCUCGCCGCGCUGCCUCCCCAGGCCCCGCCUGCCGCCUCGGCCCAGGUGGGCGGGCUCCCUUUGCCCAGGCCAGCCGCUCCCAUCGCCAACCUUCCCUAACCUUCCCUCCACCCUCUUCCUUCCCCAUGUCCUCCACCCGCGCUGGCUCCCCGGUUCUGUACGCCUUCCUCUCUUCUGCCAGAGAGAUGUUUCGGGGGCAGGGGGGUCUUCCGGCUCAGGAGAAGGACCUGGGCUCCUUGUUCUACUUUGGACGAGUGUAUUUACUCCCUGUUUACCCUGGGCCCCAAACUCCCCUCCCAGGGUCAGGAGGAGGAGGGGCCCCCUGGGGGUGUGACGCCCCCCCCACUCCUGGUCUCAGGGCUGGGACGGGCUGAGGCCAGGGACUGCUUCCCUGCUCUGGCCGCGCAGCAGCCCCGCAGGGCUGGGGCUGGGGGUCUCAGUCUUGCCCCCCGGGCCGUGGACCUGCGUGUGUCUUGCCUGCCGCUCCCCGGCACGUCCCCCGGGCGCCGUCCUCGCCUGUCUCUGCUGUUCCGUGUGUCUGCUCCAGGGCCCUCUGACGCUCUCCCUCACACGGGCAGGCCUGGGCCUCUCCUGCCAUCAGGGAAGGAAACUCCCGAGUCUGGUGGGUUUAGUGUCCCGCCCCUGCUUCAUCCCACCUCAGGAGCCUCCGUGUCGGGGCUGGGAGCACAGGGCGUCUGCUGCCUUGACUGGAGGGUGGGGCUGGGCAGGGGGCUGAGUGCUUGGGGGUCCCAGCAAGGCGAGGCACAGGCUAGGAAACUGCUCUUCUGGCCAAAAGCUGGGCGCGCCCGCUGUGGUCCUCAGGGGCCAGGACUGGAGCGGCGGCCAGCGGGGCAGAGCCCAGCCUGCUCUCGGCUGGGGCGCUCCCCGUGGGUCAAGCCGCGGCCGUGGAGCCAGGGGCCACUGCGGACCUCAGGGCGUCUGGGCCUGUGUCCCCUCGCUCACAGGGGCUGGGUGAGGCCCAGAGGGGAAGGGGACCCUGUGCCGGGCGCCGCCGCCUGGGGGAGCGUGGCGUCAUUGCUCUGAAGUGUUGAACUCUCUUGUUUUGUCUCUUGCCCGUCCGGUUGUAGUUCCUGAAAUUAAAGAAGUGGUGAGCCACAAGUACAAGACGCCGAUGGCUCAUGAGAUCUGCUACUCUGUGCUGUGUCUCUUCUCGUAUGUGGCUGCAGUCCGCAGCAGUGAGGAGGACCUCCGGACCCCGCCCCGGCCCCUCUCUAGCUGAUGGGGAGGGCCAAAGGCUGCCCCUCGCUGCUGCCCCGGGCACGAUGCUGCCGAGCGCGCCAAUGGUGGCCCAGCGUGUCCUCUGCAGGCCUCUCGCCGCAGCUUAGACAGCUCUCAGUGUGUGUGUCUCAGUGUCCCACAGGGCUGAGCUAGUCUGUCCCACCUUUCCCUCCCCUCCCCUAGAAGACCAGCCUGCUGUCCCCUUGGGGCUCGAGUGUGUGUGUGUGUGUGCACAUCUCUCGGGCCAGUGGCUCCUGAAAACGCCAGAGGACACGCAGUGUGAGCCCCCUGCUGCGUGCUGUUGAGACGUCUGUUGUGGUUCUUGUCCGUGACAUCGUGGCUCUUCAGGGCAGACCCAGCCUCUCUGCCCUGUGACCCAGCAGGCUCGUCCCCGCCCCCAGUGAAGGGUGGGUGAGCACGGGAGGGGUCAGGGGGCAGCAGAGCCAGCGGGGCCCGCCCUGCUCCCCGGGCAGUUCCCAGGCAGCAGUCGCUGCCCACGGGCACAGGCCUGCCUGGCGGCUGCUCCCACAGCCUCCCCCCGCAGCGGGCCAUGCUGACCCCCUUUCGCUGCUGAGCGGCGGGUUCCCUGUGGCCUGCCCGCCUCGGCAGGAGACCCCCAGGGCUGCAGGCUGCCCCACCCGGAGCCGGGUGGGGUGGGGAAAGGCCAGUCCGGGCCCCACUCGUGUGUGAGGGCAGGCGAGCCUGGGAGCAGGCAACAGGGAACUGUAAAUAUUUUGGCUCCACACUAUUUAUAGACGGUGUACAGAGGUGUGAAUGUGAAAUAAACGUCUUCAACUCCCCACGG